UUGACCUUCGGAUCAGG
This 17-nucleotide ribosomal RNA is filed under the name Hymenoscyphus fraxineus. Its description in RNAcentral is "partial 28S ribosomal RNA". Lineage: Eukaryota; Fungi; Ascomycota; Leotiomycetes; Helotiales; Helotiaceae. The record is from RNAcentral. RNAcentral also lists the same sequence under 1 other name.